GAUGAACGCUAGCGAUAGGCUUAACACAUGCAAGUCGAGGGGCAUCACGAAUUAGCAAUAGUUUGGUGGCGACCGGCGCACGGGUGCGUAACACGUAUACAACCUACCUUCAAUUGGGGAAUAACCUGGAGAAAUUUGGACUAAUACCCCACGGUAAACGGAAGAGGCAUCUUUUUUGUUUUAAAGAUUUAUUGAUUGGAGAUGGGUAUGCGUAGGAUUAGCUAGUUGGUAAGGUAACGGCUUACCAAGGCAACGAUCCUUAGGGGUUCUGAGAGGAAGGUCCCCCACACUGGUACUGAGACACGGACCAGACUCCUACGGGAGGCAGCAGUGAGGAAUAUUGGUCAAUGGUCGAGAGACUGAACCAGCCAAGUCGCGUGAAGGAAGACGGCUCUAUGAGUUGUAAACUUCUUUUGUACAGGAGUAAAGUGAGACACGUGUGUUUAUGCAAGUACUUACGAUAG
RNAcentral lists this ribosomal RNA (464 nucleotides) under Bacteroidetes bacterium oral taxon 274. RNAcentral describes it as "bacterial SSU rRNA". It matches the Rfam family "Bacterial small subunit ribosomal RNA", at positions 28 to 488 of the family's 1533-position model. The record is from RNAcentral. Lineage: Bacteria; Pseudomonadati; Bacteroidota.